UAAGACACUCUCGUCCCGAAUCUCUUUCUCCAUCCGCCGCCAGCACGCCUCGCCUCUCCUCGGCCCCGUCCUCCACUUCCCCACCUCCACCUCCCCGCCCAAGAUCCAUGGCUACCGCGGUUGCACCGGCCCGAUGGAAGCGGCGGCCAACCCUAGCCGCUAUGGCGCGCCUCUGCUGCUCACGACCUGGGCCAUGGAUCUGCGACAGGGGCCUCCCUCCUCCUCCCAGGCGGCGCAAGUGCCUCGCCAUCUGAAGAUUUGGCGUAGCAAGCGCCGGAUGAGGAGAGGACAAGGACCGUGACCCGCGGGGCACCCGAGCUCGACCUCUCCGGCGACGUCAACGCCCCGCACAAGAUCAGCAGGACCUCUCCGCCUCUUCAGUUCAAUGGAAGUGGACCACCGAGACCACACGCUCCAGCCCGACGAGCUGGACGAGCUCGAUGGCCAGGUCCUCCGCCCCGACCACCAUGAUUCCGCAGAGAACAAUAAGCCUGAACAGACUCUAACAUUGGUUUUCGUGGAGACAAAACAAGAAGCUGAUUCAUUGAGAUAUUGGCUAUACAACAGAGGUUUCACUGGAAUGGCGAUCCAUGGUGACGAAACACGUAAAUACAUAUUCCGAACUCUUCUGUCAUCGCCUAACUCUAGUGUACGGACACGCGCAUCCCUCUGGCUGCCGCUGGCCAGCAGCCAGCAUAGAGGAGCACGGCAAGAAUGGUGGUCGUGCAUCUACUUCGAGCUCCACAAAUCUCCAGCCACCUAGGCUAUCAAUUAGCAACAUAUGUUAAUCGAUUUAUCAUGGAUCUAUGAUGCACUGAUGAAAACCACACCUCUGAUCAUGGAUGUAUGCCUGCUCUGAUGUAUGUGCUUUGUUGCUGCCUAAAUUAAUGUACACACAGGGUUGUGAGACUUUGUCAUUCUGUCACCACUUGGUAAUGUGAAUUGAAUGGAUAAAUGCUAUACUGGACCCAAUGGUUUGAGCACUGCAACAAACCUGAAUGUUUACACAUGCCCCCUCUUUCACAAGUUUGCACAUCAACUGUUUAAUUGCUAUAUUAUAUUGUAAAUAAAAAUAUAGGUUACAUAAUUUUAUGCCAAGUGUCUACUUAUGUAAUUGAUAAUUGCUUAUAGCAGUACUAUGUUUAUUUAGUGGAAUAUGAGUGCACUUCAUUAAGUCUCACUUUUUCUCCUUUUCUUGCGUUGUUUCAGUAGAAGUUUGUUUUGUGUAACUUGAUCUCAGCUUUCAAAUCAACAUGAAUAGAUGAGACACCUACAAUCAUCCACUACAAUUUUAGAUUUAGGUUAAGACCCUAGCAUCUGCUGAGGUUUACAGUACAUUAACAUGCUAGCCUGUCCUGAGGCUUAGCCUGUGUUACCAUGACAUUCAGUUUCGCUUAUAUAUGAAGAAGUGUAUAUUCAGUUAGUUAUUUUCAUGUCUUUUGGAAUAUUAUCAAUUUUUCUGCAUGUCCUAUAGAAGUGCAUUUUUCUUUUUUGUGGGAUAUAUAGAAGUGCAUUUGUCUACAAACCUUUUCUAUUAUUCAUGGGAAUGGAGCUGAGCAUGUGAAAGCUUUAAAUCUUGCACUCAUUUAUGUAAAUUUCUGCCCUUUUUCCUCUAUGUUCGUGUACUCCUGUUUUGUAAUUCAACAAUUACCAUAGAACUAAUAAACUUAGAGCAUCAAAGUAUAUAUUUCCCUUUCUGAAUGUAAUUUCUGUUAUGUCUUAUAAAGAAUUGUCUCGUCCCUUUAUAGAGUUAUAUAGUUCACACUAGAAAGGCUUCUGCAUUUUUAAGGCCCUUUUUGUCACAAGCAUAUAUCUGCUUAUUGUUUUAAUGCUCUUUAUCUUGUUAAUUUCGUACAUGCAGUUUACAUUGUUUGACUGACUAUUCAUAACUUAAUAUUUAGAAGAUGUUGUCUCUAACUCAUGGUUCAUAUUCUUUAUAUGAAGUGUCCGAUGUCUUCAAGCAAGUGUUGUGUUAUGCAAAUUUGCAGUAAACGUUUUGAUAAACAAUUUGCUUGAGAACUAGCUAACAAGAUUAGAAUAUUCAUCUCGUAAAUGUAUACAAAAAAUAAGUAUGGUCUUCGCAACUUCCAACACCGAAUAUCUCUGCACAUUUCUGAACCUUGAUUUUAUAUAAAAACAGUCAAAUUUAUCUUCUCUUAUUUCCUUGAUUUCACUAUGACUUGACUCUCUCUCUCUCUCUGAUUUCUUGUUCCUAUUGUUGUCUUGUAUACAUGUAUACUGGUUCCUUUCAUUAUUGUUUCCUGUUAUAAAUAAAAGUACUAUGCUGGUCAAGUGGGCAGAUGAGAGCAUUUGGGUGUUGGAAGGUGAUCCAGUUGAUAAUAACACUUGCUGUUGGUGUUCAUGUUUUAUGAUUUAGCCUGUACCUUAUAACCAUGAUGUGAUUUGUAAGACAUGUAAUAAAUUAUAUUUGUAGUUCUUGUCACCUUCUAUACAAAUAUAUUGUUUUUUUUCAUUUCAUUAUUUUUCCUGUUAUAAGUAAUAAUACUCUCAAUACUGGCCAAGAGAACAUGUAAUACAUUUUUUCACUUGUUCUAAUACUCUUGUUUCUACUAUCUAUGAACCUCCAAAAAAUCUAAUGUUCUUUUAAAUAUGCUAGGUAUGAUUGGGUAGUGGGCUACAUAGUGCUACCCAACAUAAUCCGCGCCAUGACAUGAUGUGAUAGUUGCCAUCAGGAGAGUCGACGAAGAACCUGAACAACAGCCUUGAAAGUUUAUAUGUUUUGUUGAUGUAAACUGGAUUGUAAUGCCUUAACCUUGUUGUGUGAUAUAUUUAGUGAAUCUAUGUUGUAAAUUAUCAUUACAUGAAGGUUUUGUAAACUUCUAUGUUGUAUAUACACACAUAAUUUUUUUGAGAAAAAUAUAUACAGACAAUUUGCCGCA
Molecule: long non-coding RNA, 2900 nt
Organism: Triticum aestivum (bread wheat)
Lineage: Eukaryota; Viridiplantae; Streptophyta; Magnoliopsida; Poales; Poaceae
Exons: 4
Source: RefSeq, a predicted model, not a curated record